Long non-coding RNA from Sceloporus undulatus (fence lizard), 862 nucleotides. RefSeq lists it as uncharacterized. The transcript has 3 exons. Lineage: Eukaryota; Metazoa; Chordata; Lepidosauria; Squamata; Phrynosomatidae. The record is from RefSeq and is a predicted model, not a curated record.
CUGAUGUGCUCAUUUUCCAACACCCAGACUUCAAGAAGCUCCCUAUAAAGGCGGAGGAGACAUUGGUCCCUAAGGCUGAAGUUCCACUCUUACCAAAGCAGCCCAAGAAAUCCAAAAAAAGGAAAAGCACGCUGGAAAUCCUAGUGGCUCCAUCUGCCAGUACUGGGAGUGUACUACCUCAAGAGUCUGCAGGUGUAGAGAGAAAGUCUCAGCGCCUGCGGCCUUUGUAUCAAUACAUCAACUAUGACAAUCCAGAGAUGAACAACCCAUCAGACAAGGAAAGUGAUCUACCCCAAACAGAGGUUCCUCCCACCUUAGAGAACAAGACAGGCCCUUUGGAACUGAGAAUAACUUCAAAUAUAGUUCCAUAUGACAAAGGUAAAGAACUGAGAAGUCCAAUAAGUGCCACUUCAGGAGCUUCAGUGAAAACAGAGGUAGACAAGUCCACUCAAGUAGACAUUGAUAAGAUGCUCAGUGUCUGUGCAGCUCAUCUUGUCCCACCACUGUCACCACAGAACAAAUAGCACCAUCCACUUAGAUGUGGAGCUACUCAAUGAGAUAAGCCUAAGGGCAGCAGAGCUAACUUAGCUCCUCACAUUUUUACAAUGUUUGGAUACUGUUUAUUUUAUUAAAUGUGCCUUCUAUCCCUACUGAGUGUAUUUCCCUAAGCAUUCUUUAUUACAUUCAAGUGUCAAGCCAGUGUCUGCCUUUGUCUCAUUUGUAAAAGAAAGGGGAAUUGAAUGCCAGCUCAACUGGUUCCUGAGCAACUGCAGAAAAGGACAAAAAAAAAGAUAAGGACCUUGUACAAGACCAGCAUCUGCAGCUGGAAUUAAGGAUACAGCUGUUAGAUUUAAAAAUAACU